This 792-nucleotide ribosomal RNA is filed under the name Triticum aestivum (bread wheat). RNAcentral describes it as "partial small subunit ribosomal RNA". Lineage: Eukaryota; Viridiplantae; Streptophyta; Magnoliopsida; Poales; Poaceae. The record is from RNAcentral.
AUGGAAGUGGGCAUCCGCCGCAUUCGCUUCUGGUCCGUCGAGGAGGAUGGCUCGUCCGUCUCCUCCUUCCACUUUGAGGGGGAUGGUGUCUCCCCUCCUCGCUCGCCGCGUGGACCUCACUCCACUGGCAUGGACGACAUCGACACGCUCAGUCUUCGCGGCUUCGACUCCCUCUCCAUCGAGCCACGCCCUGCUGCUCCUACUCCAAUCGACGACUUCCCUGGUGCCCAGCAGAGCGCGGCCAUGGCCGCCUUUCGCCGGGGGCUUGGGCGCCGCAUGGCUGGGCUGCUCUCUGAGCCCUUCCCUCCCAAGUGGUGCGCCAUCUUCCCUCCGGCAACCCCUCUGUUUCAAGACGAGGGCAGCGACUCCUCCAUCUCUGACCCCGCCUCUGCUGACGGCCACGCCCUGAUGCUUCCCUCCCCGGUGAUGCUGCCCUCCGAGCUGGCAAACGACGACCACGAGCACGCCGCCCUCAAGCGUCGUGGCCGGCGCAUGCGCGCGGUUGACACGGACCACACCGGUCGCCGUAGCUCCCGCCUCGCCCGAAAGGAGCCGUCCCUGUACGUCAAGAUGUUGGACCGGGCCAAGGCGGUCAAGGCGGCGCGCUUCGACUACUCCAAGGGCUCCCCCCGCCUCCGCGCUGCUAUGCGGGCUGCCGGCAUUGGCGUCAACGAUGGCGUGCCCGACUCCCUCUCCCUUCGUCAGCUUCAAGCCCUGGGGGAGCCAUGUGGUGUCGACCUGGACGCGCUUGCCGCUUGCGCUCGCGCUGAGGAGGCGUUCGACGCUGCAUGA